GUGGGAGGGGCUGAGUCCUUCCUGGUUGUCAUGUUUACCUGAAGCAGGUAAAGAACAGGAAACAGAAGCUCAGGAUCCAUUUGGUCUCUGAAGAACAGGAGGAUUAAAACAGCUUUCUGUCAGAAAUUGAAGGACACUAACUGGACCUGAACCACUGGGAACUGACUGGUUCUGGUUUCUCUCUCAGACUGACUGAAGUCCAGAAGAUGGAAGAUUGGGAUCCAAAGGAGGACAGAGCAGAACCUCCAGGAUCCAGCUGUCCAUCUAUGAGUGACAGAUCCAAAGAAGGAAAACCUCCAGACUUCCGAGCAGAACCGGGACCCUCAGACAUAAAAGGUCAGAACCACAGACAGAGAGCAGAACCUCCAGGAUCCAGCUGUCCGUCUAUGAGGAGUGACCGGUCCAAAGGUCGCAUCCCAGACUUCAGAGCAGAACCUGGACCCUCAGACUCAGAGUAAG
Long non-coding RNA from Cyprinodon variegatus (sheepshead minnow), 459 nucleotides. RefSeq lists it as uncharacterized. The record is from RefSeq and is a predicted model, not a curated record. The transcript is spliced from 3 exons. Lineage: Eukaryota; Metazoa; Chordata; Actinopteri; Cyprinodontiformes; Cyprinodontidae.